Long non-coding RNA from Heteronotia binoei (common prickly gecko), 395 nucleotides. RefSeq lists it as uncharacterized. The record is from RefSeq and is a predicted model, not a curated record. NCBI's taxonomy places the organism in Eukaryota, Metazoa, Chordata, Lepidosauria, Squamata, Gekkonidae. The transcript has 3 exons.
GAUCUUGAGUAGAUGAAGGGGUUCAAAUCCAAAGACUGUUGGUCGGUCCUUCUACCCUCAUCAUUAUUUACAACAAGACUCUUUCCUUGGGCCUCAAGGCAGAACACGAGAGGCAUCAGAUGACAUGAAAGCAAAAUUCAAGGACAUCGCUGCAUCUGUGGGAUUUAAUGUGAACCAAAUAACCGCUGCAAGGCUAGCAGAGUCAUGCCCAUAAUGUUACUAAGUAUAGUGUGUUCUGGACCCUUCCUGGCUGGGCACAGAGGAGAAGCCUUCCCCUUUCCAGGGGUGGGAUCAGAAGAACACUCAUUCUGAGUUCGAAUUUGAGAUUCUAAAGUGCUGCACUUACCAACAUCUGCAAAUUUAACCAUUCCAAGAAAUAUACGUAGUUGCAGAAA